This 440-nucleotide long non-coding RNA is filed under the name Medicago truncatula (barrel medic). Its description in RNAcentral is "lncRNA gene42404". The record is from RNAcentral. Lineage: Eukaryota; Viridiplantae; Streptophyta; Magnoliopsida; Fabales; Fabaceae.
UGUGGUACUACUCAUAAUCAGAGUCAACAAAUAGCAGUGUAAUGUGUCUGUCAAGAACAAAGGAAUCCAUAAAUAAGAAUGGAAACGUUUCAGAGGACAGGAUCCCGAUAGUGAUAUCUUGGUCUGGGACUUUGUUGGGCAUGUCAAAAAUGGCACAGAGACCCUUAGAAGUCGUGGUAGGGUCAAAAUGUGAUCAUAAUCAUAAUAGAAAGGAAUUGAGGAAGGUAAUUAACCAAUUGGUUGUUGCAGGCUAGCUGCUAUCCCUUGUCCCUCGCUGCAAAUGUGCCACGUAGUACAAGACUAUGUGGAGAAAACCUUUUAGUAACAACCAAGUUUUAAUCUAAAAAAUCAAGGUUUGAAAAAAUGUCAAAUUUACUAGUAGGAAAAUUAUUUUGUGGUGGAAUUUGGGGACCAGUAAUAUCCAUUACAAUCGAAUUGCC